Molecule: long non-coding RNA, 492 nt
Organism: Daphnia carinata
Lineage: Eukaryota; Metazoa; Arthropoda; Branchiopoda; Diplostraca; Daphniidae
Exons: 3
Source: RefSeq, a predicted model, not a curated record
CUUUGUUUGCCAACAUCAGUCGCUUAAAAGGGGAUGCAGGACAGGUAGAAAGCCUGCAGUCGUGCUUGACCAGGUGAUCACGCAUCUUCUUUUCGAGAAACAAUAGGGAGAUGAACACAAGAGUUGUACAGUGUUGUUGGAUGAUUGCCAUUCUAUUGGCGGUGUUGACGUCAUCAGUUCAUUCGGCGCCAUUGAAAUUCAAGAGAGUAGCUCCGUGGGAAACCAAUUGGGAACCAACCACAACAGAGAGUGGCUUCCUUACCGCUAAUAACUACGGUGCCGCAAGCAUUUCCGCUAGUCUGCAAUCUGGUAUUCGCGAAUGUCCGGCCGGACAAUUUCGUGAUUUCCGCAACCAAUGUCGCAUAGCUUUUUAAGAACUAUGAAUUAAUGUUCACUCAUACAUUUUCUCAUAAAAAGAGCAAACAUUGGAUUUAAUGUUAUUGUAUGGUUAGAGUUUAAUGGCAAAUAAUUACACGAAAAUAGUUAUUAUAA